UAAAAUUGAAACUAUGCAAUUCCAUAAUUAUAAGUAGGAUUUAUUUGUUAUGAAGGUAUUCAAUAAUAUCAUAUAUCUAAUUUUUUAUAAGCAAUAUUACAACUAUAACAGCAUUCUAUAAGUAUAGAUCUAAGAAAGAUUCAUCAGUAUUCAAGUCCAAUAUAAGAUAGGAAAUUUGCGAGAGAUAAUUGGCAGUUAUCUUUUAUUUCUUGGGAAAGUAAAUAACUUUGAAGUCAUAUUCUAUGAAAAAAAUUAUUCAUUGUAUUAUUUGGCCAAUAAUCAAAGAUUGAUUUAUUAGGUAAAAUAGCAAGUGUUGAAUCAACAACAAACUGAAAUCUAUUUGAGAGCAAAUAGUACUUAUAUUUCUUCAUGAUAUAGACUAUUGUUAGGACUUUACAUUUUGUGGUCAAAUAAUUUUAUAUUUUUGUAUUUAAUAUU
This 438-nucleotide long non-coding RNA is filed under the name Physcomitrium patens. RNAcentral's name for it is "long non-coding RNA (PPAT_LNC008966)". The record is from RNAcentral. Lineage: Eukaryota; Viridiplantae; Streptophyta; Bryopsida; Funariales; Funariaceae.